GACGAACGCUGGCGGCGUGCUUAACACAUGCAAGUCGAACGCUGAAGCUCAGCUUUUGUUGGGUGGAUGAGUGGCGAACGGGUGAGUAACACGUGAGUAACCUGCCUCCUUCUUUGGGAUAACGCCCGGAAACGGGUGCUAAUACUGGAUAUUCACUGGUCUUCGCAUGGGGGUUGGUGGAAAGGGUUUUUCUGGUGGGGGAUGGGCUCGCGGCCUAUCAGCUUGUUGGUGGGGUGAUGGCCUACCAAGGCUUUGACGGGUAGCCGGCCUGAGAGGGUGACCGGUCACAUUGGGACUGAGAUACGGCCCAGACUACUGCGGGGGGCAGCAGUGGGGAAUAUUGCACAAUGGGCGCAAGCCUGAUGCAGCGACGCCGCGUGAGGGAUGGAGGCCUUCGGGUUGUGAACCUCUUUCGCUCAUGGUCAAGCCGCAACAAUGGUUGUGGUGAGGGUAGUGGGUAAAGAAGCGCCGGCUAACUACGUG
Molecule: ribosomal RNA, 483 nt
Filed under: uncultured bacterium
Lineage: Bacteria
Description: partial 16S ribosomal RNA
Rfam family: Bacterial small subunit ribosomal RNA
Source: RNAcentral